Molecule: transfer RNA, 84 nt
Filed under: uncultured Selenomonas sp.
Lineage: Bacteria; Bacillati; Bacillota; Negativicutes; Selenomonadales; Selenomonadaceae
Rfam family: tRNA
About the family: Transfer RNA (tRNA) molecules are approximately 80 nucleotides in length. Their secondary structure includes four short double-helical elements and three loops (D, anti-codon, and T loops).
Source: RNAcentral
GAGAGGUGUCCGAGUGGUUUAAGGAGCCGGUCUUGAAAACCGGUGAUAUCGCAAGGUACCGUGGGUUCGAAUCCCACCCUCUCC